This 274-nucleotide ribosomal RNA is filed under the name uncultured bacterium. RNAcentral's name for it is "partial 16S ribosomal RNA". It matches the Rfam family "Bacterial small subunit ribosomal RNA", at positions 523 to 796 of the family's 1533-position model. The record is from RNAcentral.
AUACGGAGGGUGCAAGCGUUGUCCGGAUUUAUUGGGUUUAAAGGGUGCGUAGGCGGAUAAUUAAGUCAGUGGUGAAAGACUGCAGCUCAACUGUAGAGGUGCCAUUGAUACUGAUUAUCUCGAGUACAGUUGAGGUAGGCGGAAUUUAUGGUGUAGCGGUGAAAUGCAUAGAUACCAUAAAGAACACCGAUAGCGAAGGCAGCUUACUGGACUGUAACUGACGCUGAGGCACGAAAGCGUGGGGAGCGAACGGGAUUAGAAACCCCAGUAGUCC